ACACCUCCUGGUUCACUGAGGCCUUUGAAAAUAGGCACCUGAGAGUCUGAAGUUGUUUACUUCUCCUCCCUCCCAUCUCAUCUCCCACUUCCUGCACCUGUGCAGGUGACUGCAAUGACCCCAGUGGCUACAUUUAGAAGAACACUGUGGAGAAGACUGAGGAAAUUUGGAAAUACAGCAACAGAAGUUAAAGCUCUUGAUUUGGUGGACUCAUUUACUUGGACAAAUUUGGGAAGCUACAGGAAUCCAUUGUCUGAUCUUCAUCCUCCUGCCUGUGUAUUUUGAGAAGACCUGCAAGCUACACUGAGGCAAGCCCAGUUUUGAGGCCUUUGUGCUGACUUUGUUCCAGGACCUUGCUGUUUGUCAUUCUGCCUGGCAACUUGAUGAGUAUGGCAUAUGGUACUGUUGGUGGCAUCUUCGGAAUACUACAACGUCUUCUUAGACUUCUCAACACUGAGGAAAAACUUGGGUCUACCAUUGAGCUGCCUUCUUCGGUUGGAGACCUCCUUGCAACAUAACUAUACUGCCCCUGUGAGCUUGGGGUACAUCAAAAAUUGUACCACAGGGUAUGACAAGAAAGAAGGAUAAGAAAUUCUCGGAUACUCUCCCUGCUUUUUGCUGAUUCUAAUUUGGGCUACAUUUCAUCCUGGCAAUUCAGGAAGAAAAACUGGAAGCUAUUCCUGGCUCAGCUGUCAAACAGACAGCAAAUGAAGGUUAUCUCAGAUGUGUCUCCUCUACUCCUGAGAGAACAUGGUGCGACUUAACAUUUCUUCAGUAACAUCAUUACUGUUGACAUCUUGAUGCAAGGAUGGGCAGUUUGCCAAUCUCGUCAUUUUGGAAGCAAAUUGGUUCAAGUAAUCGCCUAAAACAGCCUCUUGUAAGGAGCUUUAAGCAUAAGAGACUGCAUCCAUCAUUUCCAACUGUGAAGAAGAAACUAUUUCCCCACUAAAUGAUUUGAAAGUUUGAAGAGAUUUUAGAUGUGCUGAUGGAACACAGACUUCUGGUGUGGAUUCAAAGCAUGAUGGCAAGAAUUCAGUGUUGUCAAAUAUUCAAUUUAAAUUUGCCCUGUUAUUUACAUUCUCUAUGCUAAUACCUAUUAUUAUAUAAAUGAAUUUUGCUCCUA
Molecule: long non-coding RNA, 1123 nt
Organism: Ornithorhynchus anatinus (platypus)
Lineage: Eukaryota; Metazoa; Chordata; Mammalia; Monotremata; Ornithorhynchidae
Exons: 6
Source: RefSeq, a predicted model, not a curated record